CCUACGGUUGGCAGCAGUGGGGGAUAUUGCACAAUGGAGGAAACCCUGAUGCAGCGACGCCGCGUGGGUGAAGAAGCGCCUCGGCGCGUAAAGCCCUGUCAGCAGGGAAGAAAAUGACGGUACCUGAAGAAGAAGCCCCGGCUAAAUACGUGCCAGCAGCCGCGGUAAUACGUAGGGGGCAAGCGUUAUCCGGAUUUACUGGGUGUAAAGGGGGCGCAGACGGCGAUGCAAGCCAGGAGUGAAAGCCCUGGGCCCAACCCCGGGACUGCUCUUGGAACUGAGUGGCUAGAGUGCAGGAGGGGAGGGCGGAAUUCCUGGUGUAGCGGUGGAAUGCGUAGAUAUCAGGAGGAACACCGGUGGCGAAGGCGGCCUGCUGGACUGCAACUGACGUUGAGGCCCGAAAGCGUGGGGAGCAAACAGGAUUAGAUACCCCAGUAGUC
Molecule: ribosomal RNA, 440 nt
Filed under: uncultured bacterium
Lineage: Bacteria
Description: partial 16S ribosomal RNA
Rfam family: Bacterial small subunit ribosomal RNA
Source: RNAcentral